RNAcentral lists this signal recognition particle RNA (299 nucleotides) under Paramormyrops kingsleyae. Its description in RNAcentral is "Metazoan signal recognition particle RNA (ENSPKIG00000008131.1)". It matches the Rfam family "Metazoan signal recognition particle RNA". From Rfam's summary of the family: The signal recognition particle (SRP) is a universally conserved ribonucleoprotein. It is involved in the co-translational targeting of proteins to membranes. The record is from RNAcentral. Lineage: Eukaryota; Metazoa; Chordata; Actinopteri; Osteoglossiformes; Mormyridae.
AUCGGGCAUGGGGGUACUUGUCUGUAACCCAUGCAUCUGGAAGACUGAGUUUGCUGUACUGCUUGAGUAUCGCAGCUCAGUGCUGUGUAGGGCCACGUGGAUCGGAGGUCCCGGUGAUGGUCGGCAUCAACAUGGUACUUCCGGUGCAACCCAGGAGCACUGGGUCAGCUCGACAGGAGUGAACCAACCGCAGGCCGGUGACGGAGCAGGUGACAACUCCCGCGCUGAGUUGUCUGUGCGCAGCCUUCGAGAGUGGAUGCUGCGUUGCUGCAUGGACAAGAUGGCAGGGUGCUGCCUUU